Non-coding RNA from Pelobates cultripes (western spadefoot toad), 249 nucleotides. Lineage: Eukaryota; Metazoa; Chordata; Amphibia; Anura; Pelobatidae. The record is from the annotation of a GenBank genome assembly.
UUGCUGUUUAUCCUAAAGAAGACAAAAAAAACCCAAAAAACUUUGAAGCACUAAAUUCUUGAUCCCAGAAUGGCAGUCAGACUUCUCCUUGGAUCAAGAAGCCAUUACCCCAUAAUUUAAAAAAUGUAUAUCCCUGAAUAUUGUUUUUGCAAGUAUUCAUCCAGUUGCUGUUUAAACAUCUGUACAGACGUGAUAAUGGAUAGGAUCCAAUGUCACGCUUAUGUCCCCCAAUUUUACUACAGCUGUAAA